Molecule: ribosomal RNA, 387 nt
Filed under: uncultured bacterium
Lineage: Bacteria
Description: bacterial SSU rRNA
Rfam family: Bacterial small subunit ribosomal RNA
Source: RNAcentral
GAUGAACGCUAGCGGCAGGCUUAACACAUGCAAGUCGAGGGGCAGCAUUAAGUUGGCGACCGGCAAACGGGUGCGGAACACGUACGCAAUCUACCUUUGUCUGGGGUAUAGCCCGGAGAAAUCCGGAUUAAUCCCCCAUAGUUUAUAGAGGAGGCAUCUUCUUUAUAAUAAAGCUCAGGCGGACGAAGAUGAGCGUGCGUCCCAUUAGCUAGUUGGUAAGGUAAUGGCUUACCAAGGCGACGAUGGGUAGCUGGUGUGAGAGCACGACCAGCCACACGGGCACUGAGACACGGGCCCGACUCCUACGGGAGGCAGCAGUGAGGAAUAUUGGUCAAUGGACGCAAGUCUGAACCAGCCAUGCCGCGUGAAGGAUGAAGGCCUUCUGGG